AGCGCACCGACGCUCCCGAGGGUUCCGCUAGUUCCUCAAGACACCCCACUUAUCGAUAAUGUUUCCAUCACACUGUGGCAACGAUUCCACCAGUAGAUGGAGCCCACAGAACAAGCCACGAUCUGCAAACCUACUUUCACACCAUCAGGAAGCUGAGACUAGAAGUGUCCACUAAGUCUUACCACCAGUCAAGUUGAGCAUUCCUUUUUCCGAAUCCAUCCUACGUGCAACAUGUCCGGUUUGAACUCAUUAAAUCAUUUCUGUGGACAGAGUGGGAGAAGUAGGGCAAGUGCUCGAAGCUGCAGAGUGGGUGAGGAAGUCUAAGUUAUGCCAGUUGUGGGGGCUGUAAUGAUCAUGCAACUACUUCUUUAGCAUUUUGUGAUUUAGCGUUUGUAUUUGUUGUAACCCACCUCAUGACAAACACAGACUGAAUAAGUGGCUUGUUUAAUCAGAUAUAUUUAUUUUCCUUUACAAAUAAUAAAGCAAAGCUACAAAGACAGAAGCUUUCACACAAGAAAAAUACAUCAGGUACAGUUCAAACAGGAGCGUAUUUCAUCUUCAAUACAGCACACAUUUCCAGCCAACUUGGAUUCUUUUAGUCCAACUUGACAAUUAAAAAUAGAAAACACACAAUUUGAAAGGAAAGAAAAAAACAAGGUGUGAACCAGUCGUUUUUUUAAAGGGUUAGCUCAUGAAA
Betta splendens (Siamese fighting fish) is the source of this 697-nucleotide long non-coding RNA. RefSeq lists it as uncharacterized. The record is from RefSeq and is a predicted model, not a curated record. NCBI's taxonomy places the organism in Eukaryota, Metazoa, Chordata, Actinopteri, Anabantiformes, Osphronemidae. The transcript is spliced from 2 exons.